Long non-coding RNA from Amphiprion ocellaris (clown anemonefish), 6313 nucleotides. RefSeq lists it as uncharacterized. NCBI's taxonomy places the organism in Eukaryota, Metazoa, Chordata, Actinopteri, Pomacentridae. The record is from RefSeq and is a predicted model, not a curated record. The transcript has 6 exons.
AAGAAUGUAAUGAAAUUAUCAAUGUUCUUGAAUUAAUUAUGAACAUGAUUAAGAAAGCUAAAAUCUCAGGAGCCAGUCUCUCAUUACCCAUUCACUCUUAGGGAUUGCUUUCAUUCAGGGAAGGAGAGGCGAAAAAGCCUUCCAGCAGAGCCCACUCCGGCUCAGCUCUUCUCCCUGUGUGCCUGUCCCCUUGUCUCUGCUGCCGGGCCAACUGACCAAGCCUCCGACAGACAGACCGGCCGGCCGGCCGCCAGCCCGCCCGCCGCCUGGACGGCUCUCUUGCACUCAUGCCUGUUAUGGUGAUGUGGCCAAGCUCAGCUAGCUGCUUCGUGGCCUCUGACGUUUGCAUGGAAAAGAGAGGAUGUGCUCAACCUUCCUGUUCUACACCUGAGUUCAAGCUCUGGGGUCUUGACCCUCUUAAAAAAAGAAACACUCGAGGGUUCAGACAGCCAGCAGACUGGAUUUAGUCCAGACCUGAGUCAGUCACGGUGCAGAUCUUUCUUUCUUCACUUGAGAUAACCAGACAGGACGACACAAUCUUCCGUGAUCCAGGAAGCAACCUCAAACCAUUAAAACAGACAGAAGUCUUUGGAACAAGUCAUGACCGUUCGCCUCCUGUUAUAUGCAGGGAACACAGCAACCUCUUCUGGACAAAAGUGAAAGUAGCAGACAGUGUAAAGAAGCCAGCAUAACCGAAACUCAUAAAAGGCCUCGGCUUCAAGAAUGGACAAAGCCAGGAUAGGACAUGCAAAGUUUGGCUUCAGAUGAGCCCUGGCAGCCACAACGAACACAGCCAAGAGCAUGGUAACCUUUUCACCCACAUACGUAAGAUUCUGAUUUGAAAACACAAAAUUGAAGCUUUUACUAAAAGAAAGAAUGGAUCUUUUAAACAGCGUGAGUAAAGAUAUUGCACAGACAAGUAUCAGACUCAAAUAUCACCAUCAAAGAAUGAUCAGAAAACAUUUAGCGCAUGACUUGAAAUAUUACCAACAUCGCCAAGAGAAACCAAACAACUUAAGGUUGGAUAAAUGACACGCUUACAUGAACGCUCUGACUGGGAUGUAAAAGAAUAAUUUUGUCGCCGCUAGAAAACAUAUGAAGAAAUGCCAGUUUUGAAAAAUGUCAUCUUUAAAAGGGAAAUCUAAAUGUCAGAGAGACAGAUACUUUACACAUAGAGAGCGCUGCCUUCUGGGCGUAACACAGAAAGGCGUGAGAAUAAUAUUUUUUUCCCAGUUGAAAUGAACUGCAAUUACCCGUCAUCAGGCACAGAAAGCAGCACGCUUCACAUCCACAGUCACAUCGCCUGGAGAGGAGCGUGGUCACUGUUUGCAACAUUAGUCAGGAAAUCUGAGGAGGAAAGCACAACAAAAGAAAGAAAUGUGUUUUUGUUAUGCCACAGGAAAAAAUAGAGACACUUUGUUCCAAUGUGCGAUAUGUUACUAAAAAAUAUAAUGAAUUAAUAUCAAAAACAGAGCAAUUGUUCAAGUACUAACAGAAAAUUAAUCUGCCAGCAUUUUGAACAAAAAUUUUAUGGUUCCAGCUUUUCAAAUUAAAGCAUUUAUUGCAUUUUCUUAUGUUACAUCAUAGUAAACAUUUUUGGUUUCGGACUGUUGGCAUAAAAAAAUACUAGUCGGCGCAAUAUUCAGAUAUUACAUAGAAAUGUUAAAAGAUUCAUGCAAGUGCAGUGGACUUACAGCAAGCAUGGCCUUUCUUAUGUAUUUGCAGAAAGAAAAACAUACAGAAUGUCAUCACUUUUUUGCAGGUGUUGUCAUUUUAUGUUAUUGCAACACUGCUUUACUAUACUGCCACACAUUUCCAUGUAAGGGUGCCAACAGGAGAAGUCAUAGUAGUUGAAAAAUGCAUAAAUGAACACCUACACCUGCUUACAACUGUAUUAUGGUAUUUAUAAACUGUUUAUUAAGUACUGUGUAUGAAAGGGAGUGUGUGUGCUAAAGGUAAGUGUUCAUAUAAAAUACAUUUCCCUCAAACCUGGAAACCAGUUUUCCUAACAGCCGUUUCCCAGUAUGCAGUUUUCUUGACUUAACUUGUGCAUAAAAGCUAUUGCGUGUGAGUGUGUGCGAUUGCAUGUGUGUACUCUGUUUAUCUGUGUGUGGGUGAGCAUUUGGCUCAGCGAUUGGCAUGAGGUCAUAGCUCCUACCCAGAAGACAGCAGAGAUAAAGCAAGUGGAGCAGCAAGCCCUGUUUGGGUUUAAAUUUUGCAAGCAGGCGAAUGUCAGUCUCAUGAAUAAGCAAAGCAGGGAAUAAAGCUUUCCUUGGUCCUCAGUUUGUUUUGAAGUUUGUCCGCAUGGAAAACGUCUGUGCUUCUCAGCUGGGAAUUUCAGCAGAGGCCUGAGUGGGUGAUUCAAUACCCGUUUCAAUCAUUGGUGCAGGUAAGUUACUGAAUAGGAGGGAAAAAUAAAGGAGAAGAAGAGGAGGAAUGAGCAAACUGAGGGGCAAGUACAGAUGAAGGCAGAGGAGGAGUAGAGGUGAAGAUGGAGAUUGGGGAGAUGAAGUCAGGGAAAGGGAGGUAAGAGAUACAAGUCUGCUCUCUGUUCCUGCUUUCCCGGGUCAUGUGUUUUUAUAUUAAUGGCUGAGGUCAUGUGUCAGGUCAGGGAGAGCUAAUCUUAACUCCCUGGCUGGAGGGCACCUUCAACCCACGGGGCAUUUAGGUACCUCGUCAACCCAACAGAAAACCACCGGGCUCUUCUCUUAGCAUGCAAAUGAGACAGGAACAAAUGUCCCAUCACUUCUGGGGCUUCAUGUCCCAAAGUGCUUAACACUCUUCCUGUCAACCCCCCCGCUCACUCCAGCUGCUUCAAAAACCCCUUGUGCACCCCCCUCACUCUUUUUUUCCCCCUCCCUCUUAUGUUCUUUAAAUGAGCUUUCCAACUCCACUUCUUUCUCGCAAUUCAAUUUUACAAGGCCAUUAUCCUGGGUGUAAUGUGGAGGUUAAAUAUAUCGGGGCAGACAUUAUGUGAAAAUAAUUAGUGCUAAUGAAUAAUGCACUCAUUCAGCUGAUGAAGGAUGGUUGUCAGGGUAAUGGAGUGCAAGGGAGGGGCCCCUCUGACAAAUGAAAUUAAAAUAUUUAAACACUGUUUUACGAUAUUACCAGGCCCUCACACUCGUUUCCUGUUACCUGCUCGCUAUACGGAGCGGGCCGUCCUCUUCCCUGACAUGAUAGUUGUGCCAUUACUCAUGCGCAACAUCUGUCUCGCCAAAGACGGAGCCCAGACACGAGGAGGAAAUGUCCCUGCCCGGCACUUUUACAGUACCUCACACCACAGCUAAUCAUCCCAGCCCUGAUAAUCACUCCGACGCCAAUCUUAUUGACAGCUGCUGUCCCUCUGCCAGAAUGUAGUUGGUUCGCUUUAUUUAUUGCCCCCUACACUCAUUCGGCCUCUUACGAUCUCAUUCUGCGCCCAUGAUGUGACAAUGAAGGAUGCGGGUUUUAAAUCGCCCAGUUUACAGCACCCUCCCAGCCAAUUGGCCUUCUCGAAUCAAUAAUAGCGGACCAAGCUCUCUGUGGCUGCUAAAUGGUAAAGCAUCAACACCAUUUCAUUAGACAUGAUGGUUGGAGGAAAGUGCCUUUGACGGGAGACAGAAAUCGCAUGAACUAAUGAUACAUGUUGCUCAGUGCUUCAAAACUCUGACCCUUCGGAUGGAUCAGUUCACCCAAUUUAGUUAAAAGCUUCUCCUCCCUUUAAUAUUGGCUAUUGCAGUGCUUUGGUUUGCUCGGGUUUGUAAAAUAGAAGUGAAUGGAAUUUCAUUUGUGUUGCUCACAAGACAAAAAGCUAUGUAUUUAAACAGGAGUACAACCCUCUUGUAGCUCUGUGAGGCUGCACUUACACUGAUAAUGCUAAGAUGCUAAACAGCUAUUGCUUGCUUUUGCAUGCAACACAGUUGCUAAUAAGCCCCAAACUCAAAGUAAAUAUUAGGUUUUAAACCAAAUUAACACAAGAAUUGAAACCAAAACCAAAGUUAUUAGAGCUCAUCCUCAGGGGAACACGAAGGUUUAGUUGAGAAAUUUUACACAAAUCCAUAAAAGGCAAUGUAACUGGUGGUGAGAAAGAGAAAGUAAAAGGAAGGUUCAUCAAAGCCAACAUGGCCAUAAAGUCGUGGUGUAAAAAAAAAAAAAGACAAUUGCUAAGAUGCUGGUGCUAAACAAUUAUGUUUGCCAUCUUAAUUUGGUACCUUUGUAUGCUAAACAAUUGCUAAUAAGCUCUCAACACAAAGUAUACAUUAGAUUUUUAAGCCAAAAUAAUGCAAGAAUUGAAUUUUUGACUUUAAGAUGGCAGUAAAUUACAUUUUUAGAACAUAAGUUAGAACCAAAGGUAUUAGGGCUCAUCCUCAGGGGAACAUGAAUGUUUAUAGAGCGAUCCAACAUAUAAUUGUGGAGAGAUUUUACGCAAAUCCAUAAAUGGCAACUUCAUGGUGGAAUGAAAGGGAAAGUCAGAGGAGGAUUCAUCCUCUGGGCACCAUGAAUGUAUAUACAGAAUGUAACCACAGUCUGUCCAGCAGCUGUUGAGACAUUUCAAUGUGGACCAAAACAGUUGACAGCCAGGUCUAGGACAUAUCUGUGAAACUGUUCUGAGAAGAACAAAAAUAUAUUGUUUUAACGCUCUGAGCGCCAUGUAUAAAAAAAAGAGGAAGGAGAAACCUAGAUAACUCCUGGCCAAUUAAAUCCCAAACUGUUGCAUUUAUAGAUGCCACUUAAGGCAACAAGUUUGUUGUUCGGUUUUAGUCUUUUGUUCGGAUUUUUUUUUUUUUGCACAAUUUUGGUGAAAAAAGGAAAGCACGGGGCCCAGAGUAACAGAUGUUUCACUAUGAUAUAACCAAAGGGAGAUAUAUCUCAUGUCAGAGACUGCCUGUUUACGUAGGGAAAGAGGAAACGUAUGUUUUCCCACAAAUUGCUGGUCAGCUAAUAGACAAAACAGAUUCCAUUCUACUAACUUAUCAACUAAUACAUGUCUCAGAUCAGAUACUAUACAAUGUUUCCCUACAAAAUGUCAAACUGGAUCUCAGAUCUUUACAAAUCAUGGAGGUCUUUAAGUCAGAGUUAUGUUCAGUUUUCACAGGACAAUGGACAGCUUUUAUUAAAAAAAACAAAGGCUAUAAGCACUGAAGUGUGCUGCUCUUUCCCUGGGGCUUAGCAAAGACAACUAGGAUGCCGAACCCAGCCACAUCUGACAACUUUCUUUUAUUAAUCUCAUAUUUUGCAGAUUGCCACCACAUACAUUUGACUUGCAAAACAGACCUAAUUAUGGGACCCGUAGUAUGGAAGCCACACAUCAAACAGUAAGUUACAGUAAAAGCCUAUGAUCCCAGUUGCAUUCUCUCCCUCUUUUCUUCCUGUCCUCUGUUGCCUCUGCACACCAGAAACACUGAUUAUAACAGGAGCAUUAAAAGGGAAUUACAGAGAAACAAUUUACACUUAAUGUAGCAGUCAUAUGAACAGGGAAGAACGAUGGACAAAGAUAUGGCUGUAUUAAUAAUACAUGCUUUAAUUAAGCAGCUGAGAAUGCAUAGAGCCAGAUCAAGGCACAGGGGGGAAGACAGACAAUGAAAGAAGAGUGGCAGAGAGUAGGGAGAAAGACAGCUGAAGAAAAAGAACUGAAAAGGAGAGACUGAAUGACAUGGAAAGUGUAAAACAGAGCAGAGGGUAGAAAGCAGAGGAGGGAGGAGGGUCGGAAUAUGCUGCUGUGAGUUUUCUGCACACCGUGAUUCAUGGGCAGUAAAUAUGCAAAGCCUGAUGGCCAUAAGGCAAUCAGAGGAGCGCCACUCAUCUACAUGUUGCACAGUGGGCUAUAAUCCAUCUGAGGGGCAAGGAAUAAUGAUACCAGGAAGCAGGAAUAAGAGCAGGGUCUGUUUAUUACCUCAGACAGAUCCAUAAUGCAUACAGAUGUGAGGGAGGGACGCCGCAGCCUCUGGCCACUGAACUCUAUUGAAAAGUAUAGAUGGUAAUAUUGUUUUUAGUGUAAUGAAAGACAAUCUGAUUUAAGCACCUAUUAAGUCAAAUCAGUCUGCUGUCAUAUAAAGUUUUAAAACAAGUGCUCGAGCUGUAGUGAUCGCUGACAGGCUGGAGAGGAGCUGAGACGGAUACAGAGGGAAGAAGUAAGAGGCGAUCUGGCACCUCAAAGGCAACGGCAAGGUCACCCAUAAAUAAUGUGGAUUUUGCAAUAUGAAUGUACACUCAUGCAAAGUGAAAUAGAAGGUUACAGUCUGCUCCAAAUAUGCACGUUUUAAAACCUUGCUCAUCAUUAAGACCAUGCCUGUACAGAUUAAAAGCAACCACUGGCAAUAAAACUGAAAUUUCA